GUGGGUCAAGGGAUUCUUUGCCUGGUGUCCCUGUUGCAAUCAGACAGAUCAGGCUGGGAAUGGAAGAAAUGAAAACCAAUUUUUCUGUCCAAUAUUCAGAAGAGAACGUCAGCUUUAACUCUCCAAACUGAAUGCAAGUAUAUUUGAGGGAUACACACCAAAAGAAACUGAAAAAAAAAAAGUCAACUGCAAUGCUAGAUCACAUGGUUUGACCCAUGUAUUUCUUUCAAAUUAUGGUUUAGAUGCUGUUUCAGCAAGUUUCUCCUGACUUUGUCAAGACACAUUCAGCAAGUGAAUGAAAGAGCUCAGAACAGCUUAUGGCACCAUCCAUCACCUUUACUAGCCAAGUGUCACUGACAAAAGAAUGUCACAGAAACUGAUUUAAUAUCUGGGCAAAGAAAAUGAAGUAAACAACUGUCCUACAGAGCAGAGAAUCCAUGCUGUACAAAAUACCCUGCUUUCCACUGCAGCACUAAGGACUUGCAACUAGCAUUGCUUGAAGCUGUAUUCCUUAUGUCAUGCCUAACGAAUGAUUGCUGUACUGGUAUAUUCUGUGAGGAAAUAGACAGAUAUUAAAAAGAUAAAAAGCAAUUACUUCAUUAAUAGCAAGAAAUAAGACUAUCCAUUGCACCCCCAUAUAUCUUGGCUAAUGUCUGGAGAAUUAUGUUGACUGCUCCAUACUGUAAAUCUAGGGGGACCAGCAUAACAACUCUAUGGGGACAGAUACCUCCUAAUAAUUUUCUAGGUAGGAUGCAAAGCCAGGGUUCUGUUUUGGUGUAGGAUUAAAGUUGGAGAUAGAUAUACAUAAUUUAUUGCUAGAUCCUGCCAGAUACACAGAGUCGGAAUGCAUAUUCUAUAUAUGGGAGAGUAGAGCUCUCAGCUGUUUGUUGAGCUGAUGUCUGGGUCCCUUCUGUGAUUGCAGUUUGGGUUGUGAUAAGACUUAAGAAGGGUUAU
Pogoniulus pusillus (Red-fronted tinkerbird) is the source of this 954-nucleotide long non-coding RNA. RefSeq lists it as uncharacterized. NCBI's taxonomy places the organism in Eukaryota, Metazoa, Chordata, Aves, Piciformes, Lybiidae. The transcript has 3 exons. The record is from RefSeq and is a predicted model, not a curated record.